GCGAAGGUGGCCUGUGAGGGUUGCUGGAGGUAUCAGAAGUGCGAAUGCUGACAUAAGUAACGAUAAAGCGGGUGAAAAGCCCGCUCGCCGGAAGACCAAGGGUUCCUGUCCAACGUUAAUCGGGGCAGGGUGAGUCGACCCCUAAGGCGAGGCCGAAAGGCGUAGUCGAUGGGAAACGGGUUAAUAUUCCCGUACUUGGUGUUACUGCGAAGGGGGGACGGAGAAGGCUAUGUUGGCCGGGCGACGGUUGUCCCGGUUUAAGCGUGUAGGUGUGUGUUCCAGGUAAAUCCGGUUCACUUUAACACUGAGGCGUGACGACGAGGCACUACGGUGCUGAAGCAACAAAUGCCCUGCUUCCAGGAAAAGCCUCUAAGCAUCAGGUAACAUCAAAUCGUACCCCAAACCGACACAGGUGGUCAGGUAGAGAAUACCAAGGCGCUUGAGAGAACUCGGGUGAAGGAACUAGGCAAAAUGGUGCCGUAACUUCGGGAGAAGGCACGCUGACACGUAGGUGAAGUGAUUUACUCAUGGAGCUGAAGUCAGUCGAAGAUACCAGCUGGCUGCAACUGUUUAUUAAAAACACAGCACUGUGCAAACACGAAAGUGGACGUAUACGGUGUGACGCCUGCCCGGUGCCGGAAGGUUAAUUGAUGGGGUCAGCGCAAGCGAAGCUCCUGAUCGAAGCCCCGGUAAACGGCGGCCGUAACUAUAACGGUCCUAAGGUAGCGAAAUUCCUUGUCGGGUAAGUUCCGACCUGCACGAAUGGCGUAAUGAUGGCCAGGCUGUCUCCACCCGAGACUCAGUGAAAUUGAACUCGCUGUGAAGAUGCAGUGUACCCGCGGCAAGACGGAAAGACCCCGUGAACCUUUACUAUAGCUUGACACUGAACAUUGAGCCUUGAUGUGUAGGAUAGGUGGGAGGCUUUGAAGUGUGGACGCCAGUCUGCAUGGAGCCGACCUUGAAAUACCACCCUUUAAUGUUUGAUGUUCUAACGUGGACCCGUUACCCGGGUUGCGGACAGUGUCUGGUGGGUAGUUUGACUGGGGCGGUCUCCUCCUAAAGAGUAACGGAGGAGCACGAAGGUUGGCUAAUCCUGGUCGGACAUCAGGAGGUUAGUGCAAUGGCAUAAGCCAGCUUGACUGCGAGCGUGACGGCGCGAGCAGGUGCGAAAGCAGGUCAUAGUGAUCCGGUGGUUCUGAAUGGAAGGGCCAUCGCUCAACGGAUAAAAGGUACUCCGGGGAUAACAGGCUGAUACCGCCCAAGAGUUCAUAUCGACGGCGGUGUUUGGCACCUCGAUGUCGGCUCAUCACAUCCUGGGGCUGAAGUAGGUCCCAAGGGUAUGGCUGUUCGCCAUUUAAAGUGGUACGCGAGCUGGGUUUAGAACGUCGUGAGACAGUUCGGUCCCUAUCUGCCGUGGGCGCUGGAGAACUGAGGGGGGCUGCUCCUAGUACGAGAGGACCGGAGUGGACGCAUCACUGGUGUUCGGGUUGUCAUGCCAAUGGCACUGCCCGGUAGCUAAAUGCGGAAGAGAUAAGUGCUGAAAGCAUCUAAGCACGAAACUUGCCCCGAGAUGAGUUCUCCCUGAGACUUAAAGUCUCCUGAAGGAACGUUGAAGACGACGACGUUGAUAGGCCGGGUGUGUAAGCGCAGCGAUGCGUUGAGCUAACCGGUACUAAUGAACCGUGAGGCUUAACCUUACAACGCCGAAG
Molecule: ribosomal RNA, 1709 nt
Filed under: Salmonella enterica subsp. enterica serovar Enteritidis
Lineage: Bacteria; Pseudomonadati; Pseudomonadota; Gammaproteobacteria; Enterobacterales; Enterobacteriaceae
Description: partial 23S ribosomal RNA
Rfam family: Bacterial large subunit ribosomal RNA
Source: RNAcentral